AAAGCCAAGAUGGAUCAACUUGAGUUAGACGCGGUUACUCCAUUGUAUGAAGGAUGCAGGCCCGAGGAUACCCGCCUGAAAGUAACGCUCAUGGCCCUGGAGAUGAAGGUAAAACACAAAAUGACCGACGCAUGCUUCGACGAGAACAUGUCAUUCUGGCACGAACGUCUUCCCAAGGGGAACAAGUGCCCGACCAAUUUGGAGGAGGCGAAGAAAAUCGUGUAUCCUCUGGAUUUACCGCACGUGAAAUACCAUGUGUGCAUGAACAAUUGCAUCAUUUAUCGGGACGAGCACGCGGAGUCUACCAUAUGUCCGGUGUGCGGCGUCACUCGAUACAAGAAG
RNAcentral lists this ribosomal RNA (342 nucleotides) under Triticum aestivum (bread wheat). RNAcentral's name for it is "partial small subunit ribosomal RNA". The record is from RNAcentral. Lineage: Eukaryota; Viridiplantae; Streptophyta; Magnoliopsida; Poales; Poaceae.